Molecule: non-coding RNA, 106 nt
Organism: Hymenopellis radicata
Lineage: Eukaryota; Fungi; Basidiomycota; Agaricomycetes; Agaricales; Physalacriaceae
Source: the annotation of a GenBank genome assembly
GGCGCUAUAGCCAAGUGGUUACGGCGACAGAUUAGAAUGCCGUGAUGUCUUGUUAACGUUCAUCUGUUCCUCUUUGAGGGCGCAGGUUCAAAUCCUGCUGGCGUCG